ACACUGGGCUCUCAACGUGGUGUGGAAGGUAGCCUGUUACAGUGCUGGAUUCAUAAAAGGGCCUUUAUGGUUUGUGAAAGAAUAUCUGUGUGCUUAGGGAGGAAACUUUUUGAUCUGCAGAAAAGCCAGAAGACAUCUAGGACAUCCAUAAAAAUUCAUCAGAGAGCAUUUUACUACUGAGCUGCAAAGAUGACAAGAGCACCUCAAAGGCAGCAGCCUCAAGGAGCAGCCAUGGCCCCAGACUUGUCGCACGGAUGCAGAAAACUUAAUGGAGGAGGCUGAGUCAAAUCAGGAGCUUUAGAAAAUACUGAUGCCUGGCUCUCAACCAGAGAGAACUGAACUGAAUUGGUCUGGUGAAUUCAUUAAAAGAGCUAACAACAAUGAAGUUAAUGUACGCAUCUCACCUCUCAAGAGUAUUAACAGGCCAGGCGUGUUGGCUCAUACCUGUAAUCCCAGCACUUUGGGAGGCCAAGGCGGGCGGAUCACCCAAGAAUGGGAUAACUGCCUGGCACUCACCAAGCUACACUUGAAGAGGAUCAAUCCAUGUCAUCAUGUCCCCAAUUUCAUAGCACCAAGUAUUUUGUUUAUUCACAAAUGCCCUAUUAUGGACAUCUAGCAAACAAUGAUACAUCAGAAAAGGAGAUGUGCAUAAAUUUUCAUGGAAUAAGGUAUAAAGCCCAACUCUCAAUACAUACUAAUCAUAACAGGAGUCUAAGAAAUAUUCUGAAAUAAAUGGGAAUGCAGAAUGUGUCAGGCCUCUGAGCCCAAGCUAAGCCAUCAUAUCCCCUGUGACCAGCACGUACACAUCCAGAUGGCCGGUUCCUGCCUUAACUGAUGACAUUCCACCACAAAAGAAAUUAAAAUGGCCUGUUCUUGCCUUAACUGAUGACAUUAUCUUGUGAAAUUCCUUCUCCUGGCUCAUCCUGGCUCAAAAGCUCCCCAACUGAGCAUCUUGUGACCCCCACUCUUGCCUGCCAGAGAACAACCCCACUUUUUCCUUUACCUACCCAAAUCCUAUAAAACAGCCCCACCCCUAUCUCCCUUCGCUGACUCUCUUUUUGGACUCAGCCCGCCUGCACCCAGGUGAUUAAAAUCUUUAUUGCUCACACAAA
Long non-coding RNA from Homo sapiens (human), 1112 nucleotides. Ensembl annotates it as mir-99a-let-7c cluster host gene. Its record names the gene MIR99AHG. The record is from Ensembl. Lineage: Eukaryota; Metazoa; Chordata; Mammalia; Primates; Hominidae.